RNAcentral lists this small RNA (602 nucleotides) under Pan troglodytes (chimpanzee). RNAcentral's name for it is "processed transcript". Lineage: Eukaryota; Metazoa; Chordata; Mammalia; Primates; Hominidae. The record is from RNAcentral.
AGAGUGAGUUCCAGGUGGGAAGGCAGUUAUGACAGUUGAGAAGUAGUAGAAGACACGGAAGGCACAGAAGGCAGACUUCGCUCAGCACAAAGAAGAAUUUUCUGAUAACCAUACUGGCAAAAUGAACUGGGCUGCCUUCGGAGGGUCUGAAUUCUUCAUCCCAGAAGGCAUUCAGAUAGAUUCGAGAUGCCCACUAAGCAGAAAUAUCACGGAAUGGUACCAUUACUAUGGCAUUGCAGUGAAAGAAAGCUCCCAAUAUUAUGAUGUGAUGUAUUCCAAGAAAGGAGCUGCCUGGGUGAGUGAGACGGGCAAGAAAGAAGUGAGCAAACAGACAGUGGCAUAUUCACCCCGGUCCAAACUCGGAACACUGCUGCCAGAAUUUCCCAAUGUCAAAGAUCUAAAUCUGCCAGCCAGCCUGCCUGAGGAGAAGGUUUCUACCUUUAUUAUGAUGUACAGAACACACUGUCAGAGAAUACUGGACACUGUAAUAAGAGCCAACUUUGAUGAGAUCCAGUCCACUGGGAGAUCCUGUCAGCUCCACCUUCUGCAGGGAAACACUGCAUCUGUCCAUUUCAUGCCUAACUUCCAAGCCUUAGUGCUUG